Molecule: ribosomal RNA, 497 nt
Filed under: uncultured bacterium
Lineage: Bacteria
Description: partial 16S ribosomal RNA
Rfam family: Bacterial small subunit ribosomal RNA
Source: RNAcentral
GAUGAACGCUGGCGGCGUGCCUAAUACAUGCAAGUCGAGCGAAGAGACGAGGCGUUUGCUCCUCUUACGUUAGCGACGGGCGGGUGAGUAACACGUGGAUAACCUACCUAUAAGACUGGGAUAACUGCGGGAAACCGGAGCUAAUACCGGAUAAUAUAUUGAACCGCAUUGUUCAUUAGAGAAAGACGGUUUUGCUGUCACUUAUAGAGGGAUCCGCGCCGCAUUAGAUAGUUGGUAAGGUAACGGCCUACCCAGGCAACGAUGCGUAGCCGACGUGGGAGAGUGGUAGGCGACACGGGAGGUGAGACACGCACCAGACUCCUGCGGGAGGCAGCAGUAGGGAAUGGUCCGCAGUGGGCGAAAACCUGACGGAGCAAGGCCAAGUGAGUGAUGAAGGUCUUCGGAUCGUAAAACUCGGUUAUGAGGGAAGAACAAAUGUGUAUGUAGAUGUACACGUCUUGACGGUACCUAAUCAGAAAGCCCCGGCUAACUACGUG